GGAUUGGCUACUGUAAUAAUUACUGUAAAUCCCUCCCUUGCAUGGGAGCAUGCUUUAUAAGGAGACUGUGAUUAAAGGCUUGUCAGUUCUGCUCCUGAAACUGUGUGUCGUCCAGUUAUUGGGAUUGCUGUGGGGAUAUUGCUGUGUUUUACUUGCUGGAAACCUUGCCUUUGGAUUUAUUAUUUACUUGUUCCUGAGCCUCACUUGGAUUACAAGCGGAGAUAACCUGGGGAAUAUUG
Pelobates cultripes (western spadefoot toad) is the source of this 239-nucleotide non-coding RNA. NCBI's taxonomy places the organism in Eukaryota, Metazoa, Chordata, Amphibia, Anura, Pelobatidae. The record is from the annotation of a GenBank genome assembly.